Molecule: transfer RNA, 67 nt
Filed under: Italochrysa insignis
Lineage: Eukaryota; Metazoa; Arthropoda; Insecta; Neuroptera; Chrysopidae
Description: tRNA-Glu
Source: RNAcentral
AUUUAUAUAGUUUAAAAAAAACAUUACAUUUUCAAUGUAAAAUUAAAAUUUGAUAUUUUUUUAAAUA